GAGUUUAGGUCAUCGGACGCUGUCGUUAGAGGUGAAGCCUUUGGCCUUCGAAAGAAGAGUGAGAAAGAAAAAAAGGUCAAUUUCUCUGAAAACUGUAGCAUCUUUGACCCCUGAAUCGAACCCUAAGGGGGUUCUGGUCUUGGCGCCGAAGAGAAAGAUCGACGGAGGAAGACGAAACGCCUUCGGUGAGUGCGUACCCCCCUCCUCUUAUUAUUUUUCAAUGUAUUCAAAUCUUUUUUGCUUUCAAAUUUAGAAGGAAAUAGGAUAAAAGCGAAAGAAAAUCACCUUUCAAAACUAUUUGAUUUUUCUUUUCUGUGUAUUUUGAAUGUAUGCAUUCGUAAUACUUUUACUGUAUACAAUCGGCCUCCCUUUUAUAGAAAAAUAGAAAUUAAAAUGAAUACAAAUUUUCCUUAUUUUCUUUUAUGCUAUUGCUCUCCUGUAUUCUGUUACCUUUUCUUCUCGCAGGUUUGGCUGACGUGAAAGUGUACGGAGGCUGUACGAGGGUAGUGCAUGGGGUGUACGGAGGCUGCUUAGUGGCUACUGCGGCUCCUAGCAACAAGGGAAACCCUAGGGCUUCCGUUUCUAAAACAUUUUAGGCCAUUGGGCUUGUUUCCGCUAUUGGGCCACUGUAAUUUGGUCUGUUUGGGGGUUUUGGGUGUAAUGGAGUUUUGGGUUUUAAUUUGGGCUGGUAAAGGCUGUAAAUGGACUAUUUUGGACUGUUUUAAUUUUGUGGCUUUUGUUAAUUAUUUUGUUUUAUUGUUUCUGAUGGGCCUGGGCAAAUUAGGUUGCUUACACGCAUCAUUCGGUACACAAACCCGACCACGGAAACAAAGUACCCUAUCACUAUUCAGUCCAAAAUCCGAAGUGUUGCCACUCUAAACCUGACGGAAUCGUAACCUUAGAGGCUCAUCCCUCAACUGCUUAUCUCGAAUCUGCUCAAUCCAAGUCGGCUUAACUUGCAACUCAGCCAACAGACUCCCAUCAUCAAACAAACUAAGGUAAGCAAACAUCGCCCUCAAAUUGGAC
Molecule: long non-coding RNA, 1026 nt
Filed under: Gossypium barbadense (sea-island cotton)
Lineage: Eukaryota; Viridiplantae; Streptophyta; Magnoliopsida; Malvales; Malvaceae
Description: long non-coding RNA (GBAR_LNC012905)
Source: RNAcentral